GAUGAACGCUGGCGGCGUGCCUAAUACAUGCAAGUCGAGCGAACAGACGAGGAGCUUGCUCCUCUGACGUUAGCGGCGGACGGGUGAGUAACACGUGGAUAACCUACCUAUAAGACUGGGAUAACUUCGGGAAACCGGAGCUAAUACCGGAUAAUAUAUUGAACCGCAUGGUUCAAUAGUGAAAGACGGUUUUGCUGUCACUUAUAGAUGGAUCCGCGCCGCAUUAGCUAGUUGGUAAGGUAACGGCUUACCAAGGCAACGAUGCGUAGCCGACCUGAGAGGGUGAUCGGCCACACUGGAACUGAGACACGGUCCAGACGCCUACGGGAGGCAGCAGUAGGGAAUCUUCCGCAAUGGGCGAAAGCCUGACGGAGCAACGCCGCGUGAGUGAUGAAGGUCUUCGGAUCGUAAAACUCUGUUAUUAGGGAAGAACAAAUGUGUAAGUAACUAUGCACGUCUUGACGGUACCUAAUCAGAAAGCCACGGCUAGCUACGUG
This 497-nucleotide ribosomal RNA is filed under the name uncultured bacterium. RNAcentral describes it as "partial 16S ribosomal RNA". It matches the Rfam family "Bacterial small subunit ribosomal RNA", at positions 28 to 507 of the family's 1533-position model. The record is from RNAcentral.